This is a long non-coding RNA of Salvelinus fontinalis (brook trout), 6387 nucleotides long. RefSeq lists it as uncharacterized. Lineage: Eukaryota; Metazoa; Chordata; Actinopteri; Salmoniformes; Salmonidae. The transcript has 3 exons. The record is from RefSeq and is a predicted model, not a curated record.
AUCAUCUUCAAGAUAGAAUACAAUUGGUCCGCGGUCUGCUGGAAAGGUUAUGACUGUGGAUGCAAAUGAUUUUCUCGCUAACCAGAACACGGGCCGAGGGUCACGGCAGGUCACUGCCUCUCGCUGUGUGCCGGUAGCAGACACAGACGGUUAACGACCGGGCACAGCAUCAAAGAGCCAGGCAGUUAGUGGCGACGUCGCAGCGGUGUCGGGGUGAGCCGUAAUGUAUUGUGCUGCAAACAAGAAGGAUUGCAGGAUCCCUGCCUCCCAGCCCGUGGGAGCCCGCGGUGACGCCGGAGCUCAGGUAUAUGGAUGGCCUGAGGAGGUGUCCAUCAUUCAUAAAACAUGCCUCCGUACGCGGCCGAAUUGAUCUUGCAAAAGAAGCAGGGUGGCACAGCUACCACUUCAUUAGUCUUCUCGCGCCACAAAUCACCCUGCACCAAGGGACCGCAGCCACCCCCGCCACCCUCAGCUCUCCUCUCCUCAAAGGCCCGGGGGAAAGGGAGGCUGUAUAGAUAACAACACCAUGAUAGCAGUGUUAUAACAGCUUGUUAGCAUUGUGUUAAUGUUAGCUCAACAUCAGAGUGAUGGUACAACACAGGGAUGGUGAAGGUCUAGCACUGAAUUAGGAAUGAGCUCAGAUCAAGAAGGAGGCGACAUCAGAGCAGCCAGAGCAAAUCAAAGUUAAAAAAACGCUGAAAUGCACACAAAUCUUGUCAAUGGUAAUUGAUAGCUAGUGGUCAUUUUGAGAGUCCCGGAUGAAAUCAAGUGCCUUCUCCAUAAAACAAUGUCAAAUAUUGAUGAUAUUUAUUUUUCAUAGUUCCAAAAUAAAUUGCCCCAUUCCUCUACUAUUUUUGAUGAAUGUUUUUUAUUGCCCUUUUUGUUGUUGUUGGAGCUGCUUGAGAGAAUUGAGCAUGGUCUUUUCUGCAAACGUUUCCAGCUCACCAGAGAAACCCUGGAGAACACAACCAUCACUGGCCACAAUAUCAGAUCCUCUCUGCUUCGCUCUGAAAUUACUGGCUAAAAUGCAAGGAGGAAAAUACAAAACUUAAGGCCUACGUCCCUUUUUUUAUGUUUACUGACGACGUUGGUUGACAUUAAUAUCUUCAAUGAAGGAAUUAUACCUGAUGAAAAUAAAUAGUCAAACUUAACUCGUAAAAUCACGUUUUCUAUCAAAUUGUCUGUUACACACCUGCAGUGCAUACAGCAGCCUGAUCACUAGAAAAAUACUUCGAUUUCGAACGUUUGAAAAGGUCUUGAGAAUGUCAAUACAGUGUAUGCCUUUGUAGUGUGGAAAUAUUUAAUAUAUUUAUAUACAGUAUAUCUUACAUGUGAGCCGUAAUAAGACUAAUCAAUUAGCCUAUAGACAUGUUUAUCUGACUCUCAAUAAAGAUUAUUUAGCAAUAUGCAAGAAAUUACAGUUGAGUUACAGCAAUAGGCAAUCAAAAAAUGUCUGAGAAUGGAAUUCUAAAUUCAAGAGUAUUUAAUUACUUUGUAAAAUGAAUGUAUUCACAUACAAGGCAUAAAGCUUAAGUUAUAAAGCAUUGACAAGCAUUACAAGGCAUUAUUCUAAGCCUGAUCAGAAAGGGGGAAAGGGGGAGAGAGAGAGACAAAGAAACCAUGGCUUGAGCCAUAGCUCAUGGGAGAGGGAGAGAGAGAAUGUAGGUAUCUCUCCAGCGCAUGUCAGGAACUAAAUGGAAAAGAGACAUUGAAAUUAAGACACUUUAUAAACAUCUGACCAUGUUUGAAUUCAAAAUCGGAGUUGUUGACCAAUUGCAUUACCCGUUGAGUUAACCUUAAAUUAGAUAUCAGACGUACAGACCUGUAAAGACAUCAGAACCUCUAAUACCCAGAAGUGUGACAGGAGGGGGUUGGUGAGAUAACGAGGCAUUCCUAAAACAACACAAAGCAAUCCUUGCAUACAGUAGAUAAGAGUCACUUCGGGGGCUAGGCCGCCCUACAUAAUCCUCCCUUGAACACAUCUGAUUCUGCAUCAGACAGAAGUGUUCAAAACCGGACGGCCAGCGCUGUAGUCACUGUAAACAAUCUUCAGAGCAGCAGUUCAUGAUCCUUGCAGCAUCACUUCAAAAAUGUCCGUUUGGCGGGUAGCAUUGUCUUCUUUAGACAUGCAAAUGUUCUUAGGUAACAUCUUCCCUGCAAACAAGUUAGAAAUGAAUGCUCCAUUUUUAAGAGCAAAACCCAGAACUGAAGGUACGCCAAGACGUCACAUAUUCAUUCACAUUUCAAUUAACAUAAAACUGUCUGGUUAUCUGAUUGGAUUGGUCAAUAGCAACUUCAUAUGUGGUUGUUUCAAAUCAGUCAGAUGAAUAUACAUUAUAUCAAAGAUCACUGCAUCAUUUAAAAUAUGAUAUGAAAACAUGAAAACAAACUCCUUGUGUCUUAACAGGAGCCAAUACAUUUUGUCUAGCCAUCUGUAUACAUCACAGAAAGUACAUUCACAAAAGUAACUUAUAUAGCCGUCACAAAUGGAUAUAAAGAAUGAUGGAGUUGCAAAGGAAGAAAUUAUUAGCACAUCGUCAAAUAAUCAACAUUUUAAGAGAAAACUCAAAAUCUACCCUAUGCUGCAAGUAGAAUCAAAAAGGGCGACACCUCCCUAAAUCCCAACGUCUCCGCAUAGUAUGACCUCUUCUGUGACAAGAGUUACAAAACCUAACUGAAUAGUUGGUCCUACUCUGUGGGUCGGCAAGCUGCCUGAAACGGGCAGGUGGAUUUCCUCCUCAUAGGUUCCAACAGUGCCCGACCGUAUGCCCAUCCCAUAUACAGAAAUUACAACUACGCUUUGUGGGCUGUUUGGGAUUAGCCUCUGUACAUGUCUCAAUAGCUGCAAUAGGGGCUAUUUUUAUAGCUAGGUCACUUUGGAGAUGAUUUGCGUUCUGUGCUAACAAGUCUUGCUUCGCGUCAUGUAGAAAAGACCUAGUCAAAUCAUGCUCUUUUUCGAAUGCUUGAAGUUCUGCUCGCAACUGCUUUAUUUUGCCCUCUGAUGUCUCUGGGACUUCACAGUGGUAUCAAGCAUGUUCAUCACUAGUUUACUGUGUCACAAUUCGUUCUUCCCGAGUAAAAACACUGCGAGCUCUACAAUUAACAUCUUCUUUGAUUUUUUUCGAAUACAUCUCAACAUAUUGCCAGUAAUGGAGGGUUUCAUUCCUAGUCAAAUCAAAAGUGUGACCGUUGUUGCCUUUCUUGAUCAAAUUAUUAAUACGAGAUGAAUGCCAUAGCUCAAAAAAUAUCAGUCGCCUACAUAUUCACCAUCACGUAAGACACAUAUUCGUUAUACAGUAUAUAGGGGAAUCGAAUGUAAUAAACUCCAAUUAAGUUCAAAGCAUCCAUAAAAAAUAUCAUGUCGGGGUCAUCAUUUAUGACCUGAUUCAGGAAUCUAGACGUAUGUCGCACAACACACAAGAGAGGCAUUUGAACGUCUUUUUAUUUUAUUUUCAUCAAAAUGCGUUUUUGGCAGAAAUGCCUUCUGGAACAUGUGAACUUUCAUGUUCCAGAAGGCAUACGGAUACAAUUGUUAAAUUAGGAGCCAAGUUGGUUUAGCCACGGAAAAAGUCAGGAACCUUCCUGCUAGCCAUGAUUGGCUGAGAUAAUGGGUGGGCUGAACAUGCCAGGAGUUGAGUUUGGAUUAGUCUGCCGUGUAGAAUGCUUCUGUCUAUAAUGUGAGCUGCUCAAAAGUUUAGCUAAUUUUCUGAACAACAUCUAUGCCUUGAAUUUAGCACGGUACCGACAGAUCAGUUGGAAAAAGUUGUGAUGGGCUACUUUCUGCACACGCCACAGUCAGUGUGAACCGGAGUGACUUGACACAACGCUGGCAAACAAGAUUUAAUGUAGUGUGUUUACCAGAGACCAUAAUGUGAAGAACAACAUGUCCUGCACUAAAGUCAGAUUAGGAACUAGGCCAAGGACUUGAUUUUUUACCUGGAUUUUUCCCAUAUUGUAGGCAACUACUUUUACCACUAUUAAUCUUGAAAUCUUUGGUUGUUUACUGCACUACUCACUCUGUUUAGCACAUGGCCUCACAUGUGAAUCCACCUCUACGCAGACGACACCAUUCUGUAUACUUCUGGCCCUUCCUUGGACACUGUGCUAUCUAACCUCCAAACGAGCUUCAAUGCCAUACAACACUCCUUCCGUGGCCUCCAACUGCUCUUAAACGCUAGUAAAACCAAAUGCAUGCUUUUCAACCGUUCGCUGCCUGCACCCGCAUGCCCGACUAGCAUCACCACCCUGGACGGUUCCGACAUAGAAUAUGUGGACAUCUAUAAGUACCUAGGUGUCUGGCUAGACUGCAAACUCUCCUUCCAGACUCAUAUCAAACAUCUCCAAUCCAAAAUCAAAUCUAGAGUCGGCUUUCUAUUUCGCAACAAAGCCUCCUUCACUCACGCCGCCAAACUUACCCUAGUAAAACUGACUAUCCUACCGAUCCUCGACUUCAGCGAUGUCAUCUACAAAAUAGCUUCCAAUACUCUACUCAGCAAACUGGAUGCAGUUUAUCACAGUGCCAUCCGUUUUGUUACUAAAGCACCUUAUACGACCCACCACUGCGACCUGUAUGCCCUAGUCGGCUGGCCCUCGCUACAUGUUCGUCGUCAGACCCACUGGCUCCAGGUCAUCUAUAAGGCUAUGCUAGGUAAAGUGCCGCCUUAUCUCAGUUCACUGGUCACGAUGGCUACACCCACCCGUAGCACGCGCUCCAGCAGGUGUAUCUCACUGAUCAUCCCUAAAGCCAAAACCUCAUUUGGACGCCUUUCCUUCCAGUUCUCUGCUGCCUGCGACUGGAACGAAUUGCAAAAAUCUCUGAAGUUGGAGACUUUUAUCUCCCUCAACAACUUUAAACAUCUGCUAUCCGAGCAGCUAACCGAUCGCUGCAGCUGUACAUAGUCCAUCGGUAUAUAGCCCACCCAAUUUACCUACCUCACCCCCCAUACUGCUUUUAUUUAUUUACUUUUCUGCUCUUUUGCACACCAGUAUCUCUACUUGCACAUGAUCAUCUGAUGAUUUAUCACUCCAGUGUUAAUCUGCUAAAUUGUAAUUAUUUGAUUUAUUGCCUACCUCCUCAUGCCUUUUGCACACAUUGUAUAUAGAUUCUCUUUUUUCUACCAUGUUAUUGACUUGUUCAUUGUUUACUCCAUGUGUAACUCUGUGUUGUUGUCUGUUCACACUGCUAUGCUUUAUCUUGGCCAGGUCGCAGUUGCAAAUGAGAACUUGUUCUCAACUAGCCUACCUGGUUAAAUAAAGGUGAAAUAAAAAAUAAAAUAAAUAAAUAAAAAAUAGAGAUGGGUGGGACUAAGGCUUAAGGGGUGUGAACAAUGCUGAAUGGGUGUAGACAAAGAAGAGCUCUCCAGUAGUGGUACCAAAACAUUCUAGGGCCAUUUUUUCAAAAGUGAGUUUAUCAACUUUCAAAGCAGAAUUACUUUUCCAUUAUUCAUCAACUGCAGUGUAUGAUAUAGACUUUUCUAGCUUGAAUCUCUACUUUUAUCCAAUGUAAAAACUACACUAUUUCAAAUGUUGCUACUUAGGACCGAAUCUAUGUGGUGGGUCACAUUUACCACGUGGUAAUAUUUAUUUGUGUAUAUAGAGUGACUUCGGUAAGUGUUCAGACCCCUUGACUUUUUCCACAUUUUGUUACGUUACAGCCUUAUUCUAAAAUUUAUUAAAUAAUUGUAAAUCCCCAGCAAUCUCCACACAAUAUCCCAUAGUGACAAAGUGAAAACAGUUUUUUUUUUAACUUUUGCAAAUGUUUAAAAACAAAAACAGAAAUACCUUAUUUAAGUAAGUAUUCAGACCUUUGGCUAUGAGACGCGAAUAUGAGCUCAGGUGCAUCCUGUUUCCAUUGAUCAUCCUUGAGUUGUUUCUACAGCUUGAUUGGAGUCCACCUGUGGUAAAUUCAAUUGAUUGGACAUGAUUUGGAAAGGCACACACCUGUCUAUAUAUGGCCCCACAGUUGACAGUGCAUGUCAGAGCAAACACCAAGCCAUGAGGUCAAUGGAAUUGUCCAUAGAGAUCCGAGACAGGAUUGUGUCAAUGCACAGAUUUGGGGAAGAGUACCAAAACAUUUUUGCAGCAUUGAAGGUCCCCAAGAACACAGUGGCCUCCAUCGUUCUUAAACGGAAAGAAGUUUUGAACCACCAAGACUCUUCCUAGAGCUGGCCGCACGGCCAAACUGAGCAAUCGGGGGAGAAGGGCCUUGGUCAGGGAGGUGACCAAGAAACUGAUGGUCACUCUGACAGAGCUCCAGAGUUCAUCUGUGGAGAUGGGAGAACCUUCCAGAAGGACAACUUUCUCUGCAGCAUUCCACCAAUCAGGACUUUAUGGUAGAGUGGCCAGACGGAAGCCAAUCCUCAGUAAAAGGCACAUGACAGCCCGCAA